UCAAAAACAAAAUGUUUUGGUCCUGAGCCUGCCGUUAUUUUUUACUAAACUUACACAUGCAAGCAUCCACACUCCAGUGAAAAUGCCCACCUAAUCUUAAAAGACAAACGGAGCUGGUAUCAGGCACAACCUUUAUGCCAAUGACACCUUGCCCUGCCACACCCCCACGGGUUUACAGCAGUGAUUAAUAUUAAACAUAAGCGAAAGCUUGAUUUAGUUAUAGUACAAAGAGCCGGUAAAUUUCGUGCCAGCCACCGCGGUUAUACGAAAGACCCAAAAUAACGGCCCCCGGCGUAAAGCGUGGUUAGAAUCAAACAAGAUUAAGGAAAAACACCUUCUCCGCUGUAAAACGCUCAAGAAGACAAGAAUAUAGAUCCUUAAAACCAUUUAACACCACGAAAGCUGGGGUACAAACUGGGAUUAGAUACCCCACUAUGCCCAGCCGUAAACUUAGAUAGAAAAAUACUAUUUAUCCGCCAGAGAACUACAAGCAAAAUACUUAAAACUCAAAGGACUUGGCGGCAUUCCACAUCAACCUAGAGGAGCCCGUCCAAUAAUCGAUAAUACACGCUCAACCCUACCAUUUUUGGCCACUCCAGCCUAUAUACCGCCGUCGUCAGCUAACCUUGUGAAAGAAAAGUAGUAAGCACAAUAGCCCUCGCUAAAACGUCAGGUCAAGGUGUAGCUUAUAAAAUGGGUGCGAUAGGCUACAUUUUCUACUAUAGAAAACACGGAAAAUACAAUGAAACCUUGUAAUGGAAGGCGAAUUUAGAAGUAAAAUAAGAAAUGACCCUUAUUUUAACACCGCCCUGGAAUGCGCACACACCGCCCGUCACCCUCCUCAAAAUAACUAGAUGAGGUAAG
Molecule: non-coding RNA, 864 nt
Filed under: Hemicordylus nebulosus (dwarf crag lizard)
Lineage: Eukaryota; Metazoa; Chordata; Lepidosauria; Squamata; Cordylidae
Description: partial 12S ribosomal RNA
Rfam family: Bacterial small subunit ribosomal RNA
Source: RNAcentral